RNAcentral lists this ribosomal RNA (153 nucleotides) under Schizothyrium cryptogamum. Its description in RNAcentral is "5.8S ribosomal RNA". It matches the Rfam family "5.8S ribosomal RNA". Rfam says of the family: 5.8S ribosomal RNA (5.8S rRNA) is a component of the large subunit of the eukaryotic ribosome. Lineage: Eukaryota; Fungi; Ascomycota; Dothideomycetes; Mycosphaerellales; Schizothyriaceae. The record is from RNAcentral.
AAAACUUUCAACAACGGAUCUCUUGGUUCUGGCAUCGAUGAAGAACGCAGCGAAAUGCGAUAAGUAAUGUGAAUUGCAGAAUUCAGUGAAUCAUCGAAUCUUUGAACGCACAUUGCGCCCUCUGGUAUUCCGGGGGGCAUGCCCGUUCGAGCG